GACGAACGCUGGCGGCGUGCUUAACACAUGCAAGUCGAACGGAAAGGCCCUGCUCUUGUGGGGUGCUCGAGUGGCGAACGGGUGAGUAACACGUGAGUAACCUGCCCUUGACUUUGGGAUAACUUCAGGAAACUGGGGCUCAUACAGGAUAGGAGCUCCUGCUGCAUGGUGGGGGUUGGAAAGUUUCGGCGGUUGGGGAUGGACUCGCGGCUUAUCCGCUUGUUGGUGGGGUAGUGGCUUACCAAGGCUUUGACGGGUAGCCUGCCUGAGAGGGUGACCGGCCACAUUGGGACUGAGAUACGGCCCAGACUCCUACGGGAGGCAGCAGUGGAGAAUAUUGCACAAUGGGCGGAAGCCUGAUGCAGCGACGCCGCGUGCGGGAUGACGGCCUUCGGGUUGUAAACCGCUUUCGCCUGUGACGAAGCGUGAGUGACGGUAAUUAGUAAAGAAGCACCGGCUAACUACGUG
This 468-nucleotide ribosomal RNA is filed under the name uncultured bacterium. RNAcentral's name for it is "partial 16S ribosomal RNA". It matches the Rfam family "Bacterial small subunit ribosomal RNA", at positions 28 to 507 of the family's 1533-position model. The record is from RNAcentral.